GGGUAGUAUUCAUGAUUCAGAUUAAAAUUUGAAUAUGUAUGGGAAUCAGGUAUUGUGGAUUCAUGGCUUCCAAUAAACGCAAGCGUUUAUUGUUAAUUACCCCUACAAAGUGUUAGGGCACCUUCGAUUAAGAGACCUUUGUAAUGCUGUGAUUGAAUAAAAGAUGAAUUUUAUAACAUAAUUCAGUAUGACGGUUGAUUGAAUUUGAUUCUGAACCAAGAUAUUAUUCAUCCUAAGAUGAAAGGUUGGUUAAAUUCCCAGUACAUACAUUGGAAUUUAAUCAGAUUUGAUUCAAAUUAAACUCUAAUUAAAUGAAUUAGAGUUUGAUUUAGUUAAUUGAACUUUAAAUAUAUGUGAUAAAGUCCAAUGAGAUUUGAUUUAAGCUUUCAUCCUAGAUGUAUAUGUUAGGAUUAGCUCAAAUAUUUUGGAUUAGACUCUAAUUCUAUAUUUUAAAGUCUAAUAUAAUUAAGCUCUAUGCUUAUAUGUUCGAGCUCAAUUAAGUUCACCAUAAAGCCAAAUAUUAACUAAAUCCUAAUUAUAUGUAUUAGGACUAGUCAAAAUUUAAUUUAAAUUAAACUUUAAGUGUAUGUAUUAGAGUCUAAUUUGGUUUCACCUGAACUAAAUCCUAAUUACAUAUGUUAGGAUUAGUCAAAAUAUUUUAAAUUAAACUCUAAAUGUAUAUAUUAGAGUCCAAAAAGGGUUCGCCAUAAGAUGAAUUCAUGUCCACCGUGUAGCGAGAUGCGAACCAAAUCCUAAUUAUAUGUGUUAGGAUUAGCCGAAAUUAAACUCUAAGUGUAUGUAUUAGAGUUUAAUCAAGAGAUGAAUUUGGGUUUACCAUAAGAUAAGAUAUCAACUAAAUCCUAAUUUUAUAAGUUAGGAUUAGUUAAAGUUUAAACUCUAAGUGUAUGUAUUAGAGUUUAAUUUAAUGAACUCUAAGUAUAUAUAUUAGAGCUCAAUUGAUUUGAUCGGGUGAAACCUUGUAUAUGGUUUGAUCAAUUCUAAUUAAAUAUUUUAGAAUUUGAUCGAGUUUGAAUAUGUCAAGAUUUAGCUCUAGUUAUAUAUGCUAGAGAAAAGGUUUGAUAUGGGCUCAUUUGGAUUGGAAUUAAUUGGGUUGGGUUCGG
RNAcentral lists this long non-coding RNA (1121 nucleotides) under Ananas comosus (pineapple). RNAcentral's name for it is "long non-coding RNA (ACOM_LNC037009)". Lineage: Eukaryota; Viridiplantae; Streptophyta; Magnoliopsida; Poales; Bromeliaceae. The record is from RNAcentral.